This 94-nucleotide transfer RNA is filed under the name Bacillota bacterium. RNAcentral's name for it is "Firmicutes bacterium (gut metagenome) tRNA-Ser". It matches the Rfam family "tRNA". From Rfam's summary of the family: Transfer RNA (tRNA) molecules are approximately 80 nucleotides in length. Their secondary structure includes four short double-helical elements and three loops (D, anti-codon, and T loops). Lineage: Bacteria; Bacillati; Bacillota. The record is from RNAcentral.
GGAGAAAUACCCAAGUGGCUAUAAGGGGACCCCCUGCUAAGGGGUUAGUUCGGGGAUACCUGAAGCGCGAGUUCGAAUCUCGCUUUCUCCGCCA